RNAcentral lists this ribosomal RNA (137 nucleotides) under uncultured bacterium. RNAcentral's name for it is "partial 16S ribosomal RNA". It matches the Rfam family "Bacterial small subunit ribosomal RNA", at positions 355 to 509 of the family's 1533-position model. The record is from RNAcentral.
UGGGGAAUAUUGCACAAUGGGGGAAACCCUGAUGCAGCGACGCCGCGUGAGUGAAGAAGUAUUUCGGUAUGUAAAGCUCUGUCAGCAGGGAAGAAAAUGACGGUACCUGACCAAGAAGCCCCGGCUAACUACGUGCC